This 433-nucleotide ribosomal RNA is filed under the name uncultured bacterium. RNAcentral describes it as "partial 16S ribosomal RNA". It matches the Rfam family "Bacterial small subunit ribosomal RNA", at positions 29 to 507 of the family's 1533-position model. The record is from RNAcentral.
AACGAACGCUGGCGGCAUGCCUAACACAUGCAAGUCGAACGAGACCUUCGGGUCUAGUGUCGCACGGGUGCGUAACGCGUGGGAACCUUCCCUUAGGUUCGGAAUAACUCCCCGAAAGGGGUGCUAAUACCGGAUAAUGUCUUCGGACCAAAGAUUUAUUGCCUUUGGUUGUGCCCGCGUUGGAUUAGCUAGUUGGUAGGGUAAUAGCCUACCAAGGCGACGAUCCAUAGCUGGUAUGAGAGGAUGAUCAGCCACACUGGGACUGAGACACGGCCCAGAAUCCUACGGGAGGCAGCAGUGGGGAAUAUUGGACAAUGGGCGAAAGCCUGAUCCAGCAAUGCCGCGUGAGUGAUGAAGGUAUUAGGGUUGUAAAGCUCUUUUACCCGGGAUGAUAAUGACAGUACCGGGAGAAUAAGCUCCGGCUAACUCCGUG